RNAcentral lists this ribosomal RNA (483 nucleotides) under uncultured bacterium. Its description in RNAcentral is "partial 16S ribosomal RNA". It matches the Rfam family "Bacterial small subunit ribosomal RNA", at positions 29 to 507 of the family's 1533-position model. The record is from RNAcentral.
AUUGAACGCUGGCGGCAUGCUUUACACAUGCAAGUCGAACGGUAACAGGCCGCAAGGUGCUGACGAGUGGCGCACGGGUGAGUAAUGCAUCGGAACGUGCCCAGUCGUGGGGGAUAACUACUCGAAAGAGUAGCUAAUACCGCAUACGAUCUAUGGAUGAAAGCGGGGGACCGUAAGGCCUCGCGCGAUUGGGGCGGCCGAUGUCAGAUUAGGGAGUUGGUGGGGUAAAGGCGCACCAAGCCAACGAUCUGUAGCUGGUCUGAGAGGACGACCGGCCACAUUGGGAAGGAGACGAGGCCCAAACGCCUACGGGCGGGAGCAGUAGGGAAGCGUCGGCGAAGGACGAAAGUCUGAACGAGCAACGCGGCGGGAGUGAAGAAGGGCUGCGGAUCGUAAAACUCGGUUGGGAGAGAAGAACGGGGGUGAGAGUGGAAAGCGCAGCAAGUGACGGUAACUGCCCAGAAAGGGACGGCUAACGACGUG